This 314-nucleotide long non-coding RNA is filed under the name Mytilus galloprovincialis (Mediterranean mussel). The record is from RNAcentral. Lineage: Eukaryota; Metazoa; Mollusca; Bivalvia; Mytilida; Mytilidae.
AAAUAAAGGCAACAGUAGUAUACCGCUGUUCAAAUCUCGUAAAUCUAUGGACAAAAAACAAAAUUGGAGUAACAAAUAAAAACUGAGGGAAACGCAUUAAAUAUAAGAGGAGAACAACGACACAACAUUAAAAUGUAACAUACACAGAAACGGACUAAGCAUUAGACAAAAUCCGAUGAGAAUAACAAAUAUAACAUCAAAAACAAAUACAUGAAUUUGGGAUAGAAAAGUACCGUGACACGUCUUAUGGUAAUGUGAAUUCACACUCAAAUAUAAGAGAAAACAAACGACACAACGGAAACACAAAGUUAAAA